AGUUGAUAAAGCCACAGCCGUUGCGAAGCGGUGUCGGAAAGCCACGGGUCUCUUUUAAAGAGAUAGCCGAGCUGCCUAC
Molecule: non-coding RNA, 79 nt
Filed under: Candidatus Electrothrix aarhusensis
Lineage: Bacteria; Pseudomonadati; Thermodesulfobacteriota; Desulfobulbia; Desulfobulbales; Desulfobulbaceae
Description: c-di-GMP-I riboswitch aptamer
Rfam family: c-di-GMP-I riboswitch aptamer
About the family: GEMM was predicted in a large-scale screen for bacterial structured RNA regulatory elements. Genes associated with GEMM are involved in a diverse array of functions, including chemotaxis regulation, signal transduction, secretion and chitin.
Source: Rfam by way of RNAcentral